This is a non-coding RNA of Caenorhabditis elegans, 21 nucleotides long. The record is from Ensembl. Lineage: Eukaryota; Metazoa; Nematoda; Chromadorea; Rhabditida; Rhabditidae.
UAGACUGAACCUUUAACACUG